Molecule: ribosomal RNA, 700 nt
Filed under: Halobacillus kuroshimensis
Lineage: Bacteria; Bacillati; Bacillota; Bacilli; Caryophanales; Bacillaceae
Description: bacterial SSU rRNA
Rfam family: Bacterial small subunit ribosomal RNA
Source: RNAcentral
CCCUUCGGGGUGAAGCUCGUGGAACGAGCGGCGGACGGGUGAGUAACACGUGGGCAACCUGCCUGUAAGAUCGGAAUAACCCCGGGAAACCGGGGCUAAUGCCGGGUAAUACUUUUCUUCGCAUGAAGAUAAGUUGAAAGAUGGCUUCUCGCUAUCACUUACAGAUGGGCCCGCGGCGCAUUAGCUAGUUGGUGAGGUAACGGCUCACCAAGGCAACGAUGCGUAGCCGACCUGAGAGGGUGAUCGGCCACACUGGGACUGAGACACGGCCCAGACUCCUACGGGAGGCAGCAGUAGGGAAUCUUCCGCAAUGGACGAAAGUCUGACGGAGCAACGCCGCGUGAACGAUGAAGGUCUUCGGAUCGUAAAGUUCUGUUGUCAGGGAAGAACAAGUACCGUGCGAAUAGAGCGGUACCUUGACGGUACCUGACGAGGAAGCCCCGGCUAACUACGUGCCAGCAGCCGCGGUAAUACGUAGGGGGCAAGCGUUGUCCGGAAUUAUUGGGCGUAAAGCGCGCGCAGGCGGUUCCUUAAGUCUGAUGUGAAAGCCCACGGCUCAACCGUGGAGGGUCAUUGGAAACUGGGGAACUUGAGGACAGAAGAGGAGAGUGGAAUUCCACGUGUAGCGGUGAAAUGCGUAGAUAUGUGGAGGAACACCAGUGGCGAAGGCGACUCUCUGGUCUGUUUCUGACGCUGAGGU